GACGAACGCUGGCGGCGUGCUUAACACAUGCAAGUCGAACGGAAAGGCCCUGCUUUUGUGGGGUGCUCGAGUGGCGAACGGGUGAGUAACACGUGAGUAACCUGCCCUUGACUUUGGGAUAACUUCAGGAAACUGGGGCUAAUACCGGAUAGGAGCUCCUGCUGCAUGGUGGGGGUUGGAAAGUUUCGGCGGUUGGGGAUGGACUCGCGGCUUAUCAGCUUGUUGGUGGGGUAGUGGCUUACCAAGGCUUUGACGGGUAGCCGGCCUGAGAGGGUGACCGGCCACAUUGGGACUGAGAGACGGCCCAGACGCCGGCGGGAGGCAGCGGUGGGGAAUAUUGCACAAUGGGCGGAAGCCUGAUGCAGCAACGCCGCGUGCGGGAUGACGGCCUUCGGGUUGUAAACCGCUUUCGCCUGUGACGAAGAGUGAGUGACGGUAAUGGGUAAAGAAGCACCGGCUAACUACGUG
RNAcentral lists this ribosomal RNA (468 nucleotides) under uncultured bacterium. RNAcentral describes it as "partial 16S ribosomal RNA". It matches the Rfam family "Bacterial small subunit ribosomal RNA", at positions 28 to 507 of the family's 1533-position model. The record is from RNAcentral.